GAUUUUUCGAAUCGUUCUCGCGGUACUUUGAUGUCAUCUAUGCGGUGUCAGCUCUGAGGUCAGUAGAAAACUUCUCGGGCACCGAUUGGACAAUUGGCAGUGCACCUGAACCUGCAGGAACGCCCCCUGAUGCCACACCCAUCACAACUGAUGACCUACAGCAGAGGCCAAAGGUCAGUCCUUGGAAAUACAAGAGAAAGCUACAGUCGCGAGAUCUUUCAGGAUGGGCAUCUCCACGGUACAGUCACGGCCGUCCAACAGAGCCACCAGAGGACGAGGAUGAAGAGAACCGUUCAUGAUCUGAGGUCUGAUACCUGAACACACACAACAGCAGGAGGUGUGAGGUGACAGAAUAAAGCAGAGAGGAGUAAAGACUGAUACUUGUGUCAGGAGAACCCAUUGUGGACACGAUGACCGGCGGUCCUGUUCGAC
Paramisgurnus dabryanus is the source of this 432-nucleotide non-coding RNA. Lineage: Eukaryota; Metazoa; Chordata; Actinopteri; Cypriniformes; Cobitidae. The record is from RefSeq and is a predicted model, not a curated record.